ACGGGAGGCAGCAGUGAGGAAUAUUGGUCAAUGGGCGAGAGCCUGAACCAGCCAAGUCGCGUGAAGGAAGACGGUUCUAUGGAUUGUAAACUUCUUUUGUUCGAGGGUAAAGUGACGGACGUGUCCGUUAUUGCAAGUAUCGGACGAAUAAGCAUCGGCUAACUCCGUGCCAGCAGCCGCGGUAAUACGGAGGAUGCGAGCGUUAUCCGGAUUUAUUGGGUUUAAAGGGUGCGUAGGCGGGAUGUUAAGUCAGCGGUGAAAGCGUGUUGCUCAACAAUACCGAGCCGUUGAAACUGGCGUUCUUGAGUGUAAACGAGGUAGGCGGAAUGUGAUGUGUAGCGGUGAAAUGCAUAGAUAUGUCACAGAACUCCGAUUGCGAAGGCAGCUUACCAGCAUACGACUGACGCUGAGGCACGAAAGCGUGGGUAUCAAACAGGAUUAGAUACCCUGGUA
Molecule: ribosomal RNA, 453 nt
Filed under: uncultured Porphyromonadaceae bacterium
Lineage: Bacteria; Pseudomonadati; Bacteroidota; Bacteroidia; Bacteroidales; Porphyromonadaceae
Description: partial 16S ribosomal RNA
Rfam family: Bacterial small subunit ribosomal RNA
Source: RNAcentral